Gallus gallus (chicken) is the source of this 899-nucleotide long non-coding RNA. The record is from Ensembl. NCBI's taxonomy places the organism in Eukaryota, Metazoa, Chordata, Aves, Galliformes, Phasianidae.
ACUCUCACCCUCCGCAGAGGAGCGUACAGUGAAACUGACUGUUUUCACCACACUGAUCCACUUCAAUAAUCUUUACUAGACAGGGACUUGCACCAGCUUACAAUCACAGAAUCCUUCCAGAGUUGGAAGGUAUCUCUGAAGGCCACCUAGCCCAGCUCCCCUGCAGUGAGCAGGGACACCACAGCUAGAUCAGCUUGCCCAGGGUCUGAUCCAGCCUCGCCUUGAAAGUUUCUAGCUUCUCAAAGCUCUUCCAGAGAAAUAGCUCUGCACCGCAAUUAGCAGGAAGCCAAGCUGAAGAGGCACAGGUGAAGCGCCCGAGUGGUAGUUAUACAGCAAAGAACACAGCAGAAAGAUUUACAUUGCCACUCAGUGUUUACAUGAGAUGAAAGAGAGGUCCCUCGCUCCUUCUCUUGCCCCAAGCAAGCCCAGCUCAGGCAUCAGAUCAGGCUGCUCAGUGUGUUUGCCAGGCAGUUUUGAAGCUCUAUGAAGAUGGAGCCUGGACAGCUGCACUGGCAACCUACUCCGCUGCCUGACUGUCCCUCAGGAAUGAGCCAGCUAUUCUUAUGGUGGGGGUGAGAAGCCUGAUGUGAGCACACUGCCUGUAGGUUCCAUUGUUUGCUAGACCCACUGGUGAGCUGCUGCGGGCAUGAAGAAGUAAGUUGGAGCUUCCUAUUCCCAGUGCAAGGUUCAGUGAAAAGAGGCACUGACGGAGGCAUUCACUUGGAGAACUCACUAAGAAUUUCUGCCUCUGCCAUUGAACCAGACUGCAUUGGUUUCACAUGGACAAGGUUUAUGUUUUUGUUGCUCUCUCUUUUUUAGUGUUCUAAUAAAAAUACUAAGAAAUAAAAUGCUUUAUUACUUAUAUAUUAACUAUAGCAUAUAUUUUACAAGAGCUGCUC